RNAcentral lists this long non-coding RNA (1010 nucleotides) under Fragaria vesca (wild strawberry). RNAcentral describes it as "long non-coding RNA (FVES_LNC001574)". Lineage: Eukaryota; Viridiplantae; Streptophyta; Magnoliopsida; Rosales; Rosaceae. The record is from RNAcentral.
UUGAAAACAUCAUAUGUAGUUAUGUAUUCACUACUGGAUUAUGGCUAUUAGCCGACGGAAUAUCAGUCGGCUAAGAUCCGUCGGCUAAGCUUCGUCUGCUAAGACAAUAGCCGACAGAAUUGAUCGGCUACGUGGAACUUAGUCGACGGAAUAUUUCCGUCUGCCAAGAUUUUAGUCGACGGAAAUUACUUUUCCGUCGACUAAGUUUUUCUUAGCCGACGGAAUAUUUCUGUCUCCUACGAUCUUAGUUGACGGAAGUAAAAAUUAAAUUUUUUUUUUAGUAAUAACUGGCGGCUUUUUUUCGUUUUUUUAGGUCUUUUUUUUUUUUUCCUUUCCCUUCCUCUUCUCCGGCGACCACGAUGGUUAUGUUUGUGUGUUCCCGAACAACUCCACUCCACCUCCGACGCUAAACUCGCCGGGAUUCUACCGUCAAGGAACCGCACGUACGACGAUCUAUUGCCUUACUUAUGCCGCGGAGAGUAACCGUCCGGACGUCAACCACCCCACGAGGAGGAGGAGGAGGAGACGCUGCUUGGAGGAGGAGGAGACGCUGCUUGGAGGAGGAGGAGGAGUUGCCGCCGAGAAGAGGAGGAGGAGGAGGAGGCGGCACUCCUUAGAAGAGGAGGAGGUGCCGCGGUGAAGGGGGAGGAGGAGGCGCCGCGGUGGUGGGGGAGCAACCAGACGAGGGAGAGAGAGAGCAAGCAGACGAGCUAGGGAGAGAGAGAUGAAGAGAAUGAAGGAGAGAGAGCUGAAAGUUAUAGAAUGGAGCUGAAAAAAAUUCAAAAUUUUUGGCGGGCAUAACUGCCACUUAAAAUUUUUGAACUUAGUCGACGAAAUAUAUUUUUCCGUCGCCUAAGUUCAAAAUAUUUAAGCGGCAGUUAUCCCGCCAAAAAUUUUUAAAUUUUUUUUUUUAAAUUUGGUUCCGUCGACUAAGUAGAUAUUUCCGUCGACUAAGAUAUAACCUAAGCGAAGGAAUAAUUUUUCGUCGCCUAAGUUAUCAUAAAUNNNNN